Molecule: ribosomal RNA, 425 nt
Filed under: uncultured bacterium
Lineage: Bacteria
Description: partial 16S ribosomal RNA
Rfam family: Bacterial small subunit ribosomal RNA
Source: RNAcentral
GUGGGGAAUAUUGGACAAUGGGCGCAAGCCUGAUCCAGCCAUGCCGCGUGAGUGAUGAAGGCCCUAGGGUUGUAAAGCUCUUUCACCGGUGAAGAUAAUGACGGUAACCGGAGAAGAAGCCCCGGCUAACUUCGUGCCAGCAGCCGCGGUAAUACGAAGGGGGCUAGCGUUGUUCGGAAUUACUGGGCGUAAAGCGCACGUAGGCGGACAUUUAAGUCAGGGGUGAAAUACCGGGGCUCAACCCCGGAACUGCCUUUGAUACUGGGUGUCUGGAGUAUGGAAGAGGUAAGUGGAAUUCCGAGUGUAGAGGUGAAAUUCGUAGAUAUUCGGAGGAACACCAGUGGCGAAGGCGGCUCACUGGUCCGGUACUGACGCUGAGGUGCGAAAGCGUGGGGAGCAAACAGGAUUAGAUACCCUUGUAGUCC